GGGUAAGACUCCUGGGAAUUUGGAAGCUGAGACUUGAGGCAAGUAUUUAGGAUUUGCUGUCUCACCUCCCUGCUAUGACAGUCCUUAAUUAAUGGAGAUGAUGGAGAACAGCUUGCUGGGCUGAGUGGCAGGAGCCAUGCAGCUGCUGGGGCUGGAGUGGGUCAGGAAGCUUCAUCAAUCUGGGACACAUGACGUGCUUGGUGGUGGCGGAGCCUGACGCAUCCCUCUUCAUCGACAUUGUGUCAAUAGGAGCAGAGGCAUUUAGCUGUGUAAACACAGAGCUUCAGUGGCAGCACCCUAAAUGCUUAGCUGAUAGAUCCGGAAUUAAAUACAGACCUAGAAACUGGAGUUGGAAAACUUCCUGGCAGCACUCCUUCCCUGCCAUCCCGGUGAUCCCCUUCUGGAUGGAGGGUGUGGAGCUCAGCACAUUCACGUCUGCAGGUUUAUGAUCAACUUUGAAUUAAUUUUGAUGAAAAGUGUAAGCAGCACAAGAAUGGAAUAGUACAGUGGCUACGAACACAGAAACCACACUCCAGGCCCAGUCCCCGGCAGUGGCCUCCAGGACCCACUCUGAGCUAGAUCACAUCAGUGAUGGGCUGGCCAAUCUUUAAGGAGAAUGACUCUACUCUUAGGAAGCCAGCAGGUUGGAGGAGGAAACACAUUCAAAUCCCGAGCACAAGGAGCUGGGAGAAGACCGGUUAUGGGAGCGGCAUUCCUGGAAGCUCUGAAGUCACAGCCCCACUGAUGAAAGGAUGUAAGAACCUAAGAGUGGAAACCUGCCCCUGGGAUUCAUAUGGUGUCCCCUCAGGACUCAAACCCUGGUCUGCCCUUGCUCUUGCCAGAAGAAGUUUCACACAAAGGUUUGCCUGCGAGGCUGCGCUUUCCUCUCCAGAUCAGCAGAAACAACUUACCAGCAGAAAUACUUAAUGACGGAGCCAAGACUGGCACAGCCACGCGGUCACAGCUUUGUUCCCAAGAAGCAAGCCAAUUAGCAGCCCUGGUUAUUAUUUACAUUUCCCGCAAUAUAUCACUAAAAUUGUGUUGAUGAUUUAUCAUUUAUAUUAUGUUAUUGUCAGCAUAAUUUAUUCAGAUCAUGCUGAGAUACCUGGAAAAUUAAGUAAAAGAAAAAGAAGUGGCAUUGAAUUCAUCGGGUUUGAAAGAUAUUUCUCAGCUUCUUUUUUCUCUCCCUCUCUUUCUCUCUCUCUCUCUCUUUUAAUGAGGAUAGAUGUUAAGAAAAAUCAUGGAUCACUUAGCUAUUAAAUUGUUCCAGGAUCAUCUGCAUUAAAAGUUUGCUCAGUAUUCUUUUGUGAGAGAACAUGGCUUGGGCGUUCAUUUGGAUUUUCUUCUGGAACCUUUUCUUUCAGUCUAUUAUUUCAAAGUAAAAAAAAAAGGAAAUGCAAUCCUCUUUAGUUUAGAGCAAAGCAGAGUGGAUUAAUGAGGGGCUGGAGGCUUCUCUUCCAAUUUAUAAAACAUCCUUAUCUUCUGCCUUAUAUUCUAUUUGCCCCACCCUCUGGGAAAUAAUUGUUGCUUAUCAGAAUUAGAGAUAAAAUAUUCCAGUUGUUGAAGCCAUUCAUCAUCUAGGCAUUCUAGAAAAGCAGUUACUGAACUAGAGGCAGCAUUUUGAGCAUCAGAGCUCUGGGUUCUAGUCCCAGGUCUGUCCAGGCUUUGUGUGAUUCCAGGAGUCACUGAAGCUAUCCUGCUUCUGUUUCCCCAGCAGUGGGAUUCAUGGAUGUCCAGGAUCAGGCUUGCUGGGUCUGCCCCAGGUCUUCAGAAUCAGACUGCCUGGGGAAGGCACAUGGAGGUCUUUUUGACAGGUGUCAUAGGUGAUACUUCUACACACUUCAGUUAGAAAAGUCAUUGGGCUUACAUAUGCCUGCAGCCACUUCCAGCUCCAGUCUUCCUAGAGUUCUACGGACUCUAAUUAUAUGGCAUGUUUUGCAUAUUUCUGAAACUUCAUAUGGGAAACAAACUUUUGGAAAUUGAUUCAUUUAAGAAUCUGUGGCCAGGCGUGGUGGCUCACGACUGUAAUCCCAGCACUUUGGGAGGCUGAGGCGGGUGCAUUGCCUGAGGUCAGGAGUUCAAGACCAGCCUGACCAACAUGGUGAAACCCUGUCUCCGCUAAAAAUACAAAAAAUAGCCGGGCAUGGUGGCGCACACCUGUAAUCCCAGCUACUCCAGAGGCUGAGGCAGGAGAAUUGCUUGAGACCAGGAAGCGGAGGUUGCAGUGAGCACUGCACUCCAGCCUGGGCAGCAAAAGCGGAACUCUCUCUCAAAGAAGAAAAGAAUAUGUAUGGGAUCUUGUUAUUGAAGAGAAGUCCGAAAUAAAUUAUUCAUGGUGUGAAUCCUUUGUAAUAUGAGUGCCUUGUCCACUUGCCACUGAUCGACUAGUACUGGAUUUUCCUCCAGUGAGGUCCAUGUGAAUCUCCCAGCACACCUGGCAGGGGUGCUCAAGGAGAAGGGUGAUUCUCACAAAGUGGCCGUUUUGGUUUCCCGAUAACGGAUCUGGUGACUUGCACCCAGCGCAGACCUAUGGAUGGCAGAGAUGAUGGUCUGAUGUCUUAAGGCAGAGUCCUGGGGUCCCCGUGCUAUCCCUUGGAUAAGGAUAUUUGCUUCUCUGAACCUCCCAGAAUUCCAGGUCCAGGUCAGACCAUCUUUCUGGGAAGUUAUAUAAGGAAUUGUCAUAAGUGACAGGAACAAUAGCAUUAUUAGCACUUGCUGGAAUAUUCAUAUAAAGAUGGUACCUUUUCAUCAGAGAUGUUACGGGACAUGUGGCAUUACCCUUGGGAGGUGGAUCCACUUUCUGUACCAUAAACCCCAGGUGGUCUGCAUGCAGGAAGUGUUUGCCGCUUCCUGUGUAAUUUUUGUGAUGGCAUAGUAGGUAUAUAUAUUAAUGGGUUACUUGAGAUAUUUUGAUACAGGCAUGCAAUGUGUUAAUAACCACAUCAGGGUAAAUGGGGUAUCCAUCACCUCAACUAUUUAUCCUUUUUGUUGUAAACAAUCCAAUUAUACUCUUUUAGUUAUUUUAAAAUGUACAAUUAAAUUAUUUUUGACUAUAGUCUCCCUGUUGUGCUAUGAAAUAGUAGGUCUUAUUCAUUCUUUCUAUUUUUUUUGUAUGUAUUAACCAUCCCCACCUCCCCCAACAACCCUCACUCUCUUUCCCAGCCUCUGGUAACAAUUCUUCUACUCUCUAUUUCCAUUAGUUCAAUUGUUUUGACUUUUAGAUCCCACAAGUAAGUGAUAAGAUGCAAUGUUUAUCUUUCUGUGUCUGGCUUGUUUCACUUAACAUAGUGAUCUCCAGUUCUAUCCAUGUUGUUGCAAAUGACAGGAUCUCAUUUUCUUUUUUUUUAAUGGCUGAAUAGUACUCUAUAGUGUAUAUGUACCACAUUUUCUUUAUCCAUUCAUCUAUUGAUAGACAUUUAAGUUAUUUCCAAAUCUUGGCUAUUGUAAAUGCUGCUGCAACAGAGAUGGCAGACAUCUCUUUGAUAUACUGAUUUCCUUUCUUUUGGAUACAUAGCAGUGGGGUUGCUGGAUCAUAUGAUAGCUCUAUUUUUAGAUUUUUGAGGAACCUCCAAACUCUUCUCCAUAGUAUUUGUACUAAUUUGCAUUAGAGUGUAUAAGGGUUCCCCCUUUCUCCACAUCUUCACAAGCAUUUGUUAUUGCCUGUCAUUUGGAUGAAAGCCAUUUUAACGGGGGUGAGAUGAUAUCUCAUUGUAGUUUUGAUUUGCAUUUCUCUGAUAAUGAAUGAGGUUGAGCACUUUUUCACAUACCAGUUUGCCAUUUGUAUGUACUUUUGCCCAUUUUUGAUCAGAUUAUUAGAUUUUUCUCUCGUAGAGUUGUUUGAGUUCCUUGUAUGUUCUGGUUAUUAAUCCCUCAUUAGAUAGGUAGUUUGCAAAUACUUUCUUCCAUUCCGUGAGUUGUCUCUUCACUUUGUUGAUUGUUACCUUUGCUGUGCGGAAGCUUUUUAACUUGAUGUGAUCCCAUUUGUCCAUUUUUGCUUUGGUUGCCUGUGUUUGUGGCUUAUUAGUACUCUCAAGUACUCUCAAGAAAUUUUUGCCCAGACCAAUGUCCUGAAGAGUGUCUCCAAUGUUUAAUUUAAGUGUUUAACCAAUUUUGAGUUGAUUUUUUUAUGUGGCAGGAGAUAGGGGUCUAGUUUCAUUCUUCUGCAUACAGAUCCCCAGUUUUCCCUGCACUAUUUAUUGAAGAGACUGAGUCUCCCCAGUGUAUGUUUUUGACAUCUUGUGGAGAAUAAGUUAACUCUAGGCAUGUGGAUUUGUUUGUUUCUUGGUUCUUUGUUCUGUUCUAUUAGUCUAUGUGUCUGUUUUUAUGUCAGUACCAUGCUGUUUUGGUUACUAUAACUCUGUAGUAUAAUUUGAAAUCAGGUGGGGGUCACAUUUCAGCAUGAGAUUUGAAGGGGACAAAACAUCCAAACUAUAUCACAGUCCAUGUUGCAAGGGUUUGGCAAAUGCUUGCUGAUUGUCUGUAACUCUGCUUCCGCUUACCCCAGCUGCUGCUCAUUAGCUAUGCCCAAGGCAUGGAUAACUGAAAGAGGGUCAUAAUUACUACCAUGGGAAAUCCUGCCUGUACGUAGAGAAUACAUUUUGUUUUCACUGCUUAUCCCAAUUUUUCUCCCUUUUCUCAUAUAAUCUGUUCCAUCAUUCCCCCACUCUCUCUGCUGCAUUCAAAUGGUCUUGGGUGAUUAGCUAUGAUUCCAAUGAUCUCCUGGCACCAUUGUUAAGUUCAGUGGUGGAUACUCAACAAUUAUAAUUUUUUGGAUUUGGGAUCCAGAGAGACUUUCUUUUCAGCAGUAGAAUCUUGGGAGUGUUUGGCUGCCAUGGUGCCCUCACCUUGGUGCCCUCACCAUGGUGCUCUCACCUUGGCAGAGAGAGGGAGGGGGAAGAAGUGGUAAGAGAGUGUGAGAGCCCUGAAUGCUUUGCCUCCUAGGGCUCCUGUGAUCCAGCCCACUGCUCUGUUUGGCUCUAUGGGGCACCUGGAGGAUGUUCUUGAUAAAUCCACUUACCCUAAACCACCUUGAAAUUGGUUUCUGACAUUUGCAACCAAGACUCAGAAAUUUCUGGACUAAAAAACAAAUAAGCCCCUUAAAAAAUGAAUGAAAGACAUAAACAGACAUGUUCCAAAAGAAGACAUAUAAGCAGCCAACAAGCAUAUGAUAUAAUGCAUCACUAAUCAUCAGAGAAAUGCAAAUCAAAACCAUAGUGAGAUGCCAUCUCACACCAGUCAGAAUGGCUAUUAUCAAAAAGUCAAAAAACAUCAGAUGUUGGUGAGGUUGCAGAGAAUGCUUAUACAUUUUUGGUGGGAAUGUAGAUUAGUUCAACCACUGUGGAAAGCAGUUUUGUGAUUUCUCAAGAACUUAGAACAGAACUACCAUUCAACCCAGGAAUCUCAAUGCUGGGUAUAUAUCCAAAAGAAAACAAAUCAUUGUACCAAAAAGACACAUGCACAUGUAUGUUCAUCCCCACAUUAUUCACAACAGCAAAGACAUGAAAUCCACCUAGGUGGCCAUCAAUGGUGGACUCGAUUAAGAAAAUGUGGUACAUGUACACAAUGGAAUACUAUGCAGCCAUUAAAAAGCAAAAUCAUGUCCUUUACAGCAACUUGGAUGGAGCUGGAGGCCAGAAUCCUACGCUAAUUAAUGCAGGAACAGAAAAAAUACCAUGUGUUCUCACUUACAAGUGGGAGCUAAGGAUUGAGCAUACAUGGACAUAAACAUAGGGACAAUAGAUGCUGGGGACUACUAGAGGGGAGAGGGAGGAGGGGGUGUGGGUUAAAAAACUACCCACUGGGUACUAUGCUCACUACCUGGGGGCAAUAUACCCAUGUAACAAACCUGCAUAUGUAAAAUAAAACUUUAAAAAUGCAUGAACUUUUCCAGUUAGUAAGCAUCUUUUCUUUUUCCUAAUUCUCCCAAUUUUAGUAGAACCAUCUGAAUAGAUUUGAGUACCUUAUGUUGCUAGAUAUGAGAAGUGUGCCAUUUAUCCCUUUAUGUUAAGAAAAGAGGACCAUGUAAUGCGUAAAAUUCUUUAUUAUGUUAUGGUUUUAGUUGAAUGAUAAGUGUCAUAAUCUUGUCUAAACUAGUCCCAUAACUCUUUUUUAUCUCCUAGGCUGGGUGUAUUUAUUUUCUUUUGCUCUCAAAAUUAUUUUGGAAUUAUGACUUACCAUUAAUACUUGAAAAGUGAUCAAAUAGAGGAAAGCAUUCUAAAGGUGGAGAAAGAGAUGUGCAGCUAACAGGAGACAUUUAUGCGUUAUUUCACCAGCCCACAAGUUCAAGUUCUAGGAGUUGAAAUGGCAAAGGCCUGAGGACUUUCAGCAUUUUGUCAACACUGACCAAGCGAACAGGGUGCUGUUCACAAUCCAAGUUCGCAAUCCAAGUGCAUGCUGUCUUUGGAUUAAAUGGUUUAUGCAGAUUGGUCUUGGUUCUUCUGUACGUUCUGUAUUGGGGAGGGAUGAUGAGUGGAUGGACAUCUUGCAGAUAAGACCCCUUGCCCAGUAUACUGUGGGGUUCACUGUAGUUGUGGAGGAAGACCUUUCAGUUUGGGGGCAGAGCACAAUUUUUGUGUCCCUUUACUCAAAAUGCUAACUCAGUCUGAUCUCUGGUAGGUGUCCUGAAUUGUCUUUAAAAAGUGAUCGAGAUUAUAUUUUCAAUUUUGAAUAUACUGCUGAACCCCUGACAUGCAGAGCAAUCUAUCUGGACUGAAAACUUGGCCAGGGAUGGUCUAUGCCAAGCAGUGAAGGCUGUGAAGAGAUGCUUGGGAAGGGUACAAGAAGGAAGGAAAGGAGCCCCCUGGGACAAUGAAGGAAGAUGCUGUGGUUGGCCCCGGGGCUCAGAAAACAGGCAGGUGAAGGAGUGGAAAAUGAUCACUUUGAUCCAAGGAACCACCUGCCCCACUACAAGUGAACACCAGCUGACCCAGUGCUGACCGUGUUUAUCUUCUGCCUCAGUUUUCCUCAAAUGUACAUGCAAAAGAUAUUAGAUGGCUUCCACAAAGGCUCUAUGCAUAUGAGAAUCCCUGUUCACAAACACAAAGCCCUGUUGACAAGAAGACAAUGAGCCUCGUGAGUACAUCGGCCAGAUCCUGGGAGAUUUGUUCUGUAUGCACUCCAGGAUCUGAAUCUGCUCUCAAAAUCACUAGCUCCAAUCUAUGAAAGAAAAAUGCCCCACAGAACACACUGCCUCUUAAUAAGUUAGUCUUUCCAACUCAUAGACUUUUCCUCCUUUAAAUUAGCACGACGGUUUUCAAAGCAAAAUUUUCAGCCACCUAAGAAUCCCUCCUCAUCUUUAUAAACAUAAAGUGAAAUAACUGACAAAUGUUCAUGCCAUAGCUCCCCUCUACAUAAACACACACAGGCACACAUGCAUGCACAGAUGUGGUUAGUGGUUCUAACUUGGUCAGGUUAGAACAAAGGCAACAGACGUCCCCCUGUCACCAUGCAGGCACCCAGGGCUGUGCCUGCCCAUCAGCCCCGAUAGCAGCAAUUACACAGUCCGUGGGUGUGAUGAGCUGCAAACUAAACAUUUGUAAAAAGGCUGUUAUUAAUGCAAUUAGCUAUUUACACGAUAGCCCAUAAUGAAUCCAAAGGCAUCGUUAUUGACUAUUGAGUAAAUAAUCUGACAUUAAAAAGUCAAUGAUCUGCAAAUGAAAAAUUCUCUCUCUCUUUUUUUAAAGGAGGAAAGAUGAAAGAAAGAAAAUUAAGGAAAAGAGGAAAACAAGCAAAAAACUCAGCAAAGAUGUCAUUGCAUAAUAGUCCAUUAUGCCUCCAAUUGAGCCGUCAUGAACUAUCAAAGAAAUAAUUGCGCAAUAAGCCCAUAAUGGCUUAAUCGUGUCAACAUCUUUGCA
RNAcentral lists this long non-coding RNA (7853 nucleotides) under Homo sapiens (human). RNAcentral's name for it is "HSALNT0258370". The record is from RNAcentral. Lineage: Eukaryota; Metazoa; Chordata; Mammalia; Primates; Hominidae.